Molecule: long non-coding RNA, 229 nt
Filed under: Rattus norvegicus (Norway rat)
Lineage: Eukaryota; Metazoa; Chordata; Mammalia; Rodentia; Muridae
Description: long non-coding RNA NONRATT033335
Source: RNAcentral
AUAAAAAGCACCUACUUAUAAAUGAUUAUACUAUGUCCGACUUUGUUCGAAGUAUUUUCCAUGUCAAGUGGACCUGAAAUUCUUAGGUUGGCCUGGGCUUUCUAAUGAUACCAUGUUAAUGGACUCCCAAGAGAUUAGAUGCAAGAUACUAAAGACAUGAUUUUCCAAAUAAAACUAUGAAGCUGCAUCAAUCCUUCACAUGAAGUCACCGUUCCUCUUUUGAAUGUAU